CCUGGACACGCUUACCCAAGGCUAUGUGGAUUCCCCAGCUGUUUAUUCGUUGGUACUCCAACAUACUCUAAACAACAUGGACCACCGGUCAUGGUUCCGUCCUUUUUGCAAAAUGUUGAUGAUUUGUUGUUAUGUAGCCCUAGCUAUGAGGCAAGCACUGUGGAUACUGUCAGCAACUGUAGGUCACAAGGUUGUUAAACACAAAAUGCAAUUGUGUAAAUCAAAGGUUGAAUACUUAGGUUUUGUUCUGGCUUUAGGCACCAGACAAUUGAGUCCAAAACGUAUUGAGGUCAUUCAGAGGAUUCCUACACCCACUACUCGGAAGGAGUUGCUCACCUUCCUCGGCAUGAUUAAUUACUGCCACCAUGGAUCCCUGAAUGCUCCCAUUAUGACUCAAUCCUAAGGGAGGCUGUACGUUCUGACAGCCCUGAAAAUGUCUGCUGGUCACCAGACAUGCUAUCUGCAUAUAUUGCCCUUACAGUUGUUAUUGUGCAAGCCCAGGCUUUAGGACUACCUGUGUAUUGUAAACCAUUUCAUUUGUAUGCUUGGGACAAUUGUAAAACCAUGGCCGCGGUCUGUGCACAAGAGCAAGGAGGCGGUAUGCGUCCCAUAGCAUUCUUUUCCAAAGUAGUUCGAGCUCCGGUACAGGGUAUGCCGGCGUGUCUCAGAGCAUUGAUAGCAUGUGCAAUGGCUGUUGAAACUGCUACUACUAUCACACUAGGGCAUCCUACAAUACUUCAUGCCAGUCACCAGGUCACUCAGCUGACAAAUCUCACCACACAACACAUGACAGCCCAGCGCUUCAGUGGUUAUGAGAUUCUUUUUUUUAAUACCCAGAAUCUGUCUUUUGGAUUAAACAAGGUUUAGAGAAAGAUCAAAAUGAUCUGUUCUCUAAAGAGGGGAGAAUAGGCAUACUUGAAGAAUAGGCAUACUUGAAGCAAGCUGAUUUAUUUUCAUCAGUCAGGCACAUAGCAAGCACCAUUCAAUUCUUCAUGAAUUCAUUUUAUAUUAGGAAUCUCAGGCAGCAUGUACAGUCUUUUGUAAGAUCGUGUGAACACUGCUCUUUUUACACACUUACAGAUUGAUUUUAUUCAUGUAUCCAAAAUUGGUAAGAAACAGCAAUACUUACUGGUCAUAGUUAAUCAGUUUAGUAGAUGGCAUGAGGCCUUUGUGACAUCUAGGGAAGAUGCUAGUGAAGAUUAUUGUUACUGAAAUUAUUCCCAGGUAUGGCUGCCCUCUGCAGAUUGGCUCUGAUAAUGGCCCGGUUUUUGCCAGUGGGGUUGCCCAGGAACUUGCUAAAUUCUUGCAAGUUACCUGGCAGUUUCAUAUACCCUAUCAUCCACAGAAUACAGGGGUAGUUGAAAGGAUGAAUAGGACUAUUAAGGAAAAGCCCAGAAUUUACCCAGGAACAUGGGAAAAUUGGACUAGAUAUCUACCAGCUAUUUUAGCUGAGAUAAGAAUGAAUCCCCACAAGGUGACUAAAUUAUCUCCAUCUGAGAUUUUUGAUGGGAUGACCUUUUCCCACACCCUGGGCCAGGGAACCGCUUGUUAUAAUGUCUGUGGAUUUACAGCUAAUACAAGAACAAUAUGUACAGGAAUUGUUGAUAAAACCGAAUGGUAUGUAUGACAAUGUUUCUUCGCAGUUUUCCCUUACCUUCACAGGAACCUACUCAUUCAUACCAGCCCGGUGACAAGGUGUAUAUCCGUCAGUUGAACAGGACCAAGAAAGGAGGAUACCCUUUUGGACCACCUGCUACUGUGAUUGCUGUACCCAGAACCGCUGUCCUCACAGAUUCCCACGACAUCUGGAUUCACGCAUCCCGAGUGAAGCUGUGUCCAAAGAGGGGAACCAAGGAAGACAACACCACUCCUCGCUCGGAAACAGAAGAAUUUCUCCUCAGCGAAGCAUCAUGGCUUUUACACCAUAUCGUAGAUUGAGAGGAUCAUACAUACCUGAGACCAAGAUUAUGUUGUGCGCUAUGCUUUCUGGAGUUGUUAUACUCCCUCUGAUAUUGUUCCUUGAAUGCCAUUAUGAGUACAAGUCAAUGGCAAGUUUGAAACCUGUUUGUUUCUGGAAAAAGACUCUGACAUGAUGAACAAUUCUUCAAUACCCCCAGCCCAAUUAGGCCUUAGCCCCUCAUCUAGCAUUCGUCACACACGCCCCCUCAAGAACCUUUCUCCACCACCUUUCUAUCAGCAUGCAAUAUGCAAUCAUUCAUUCAAUGAACGCAUUUGGAUGAAUUGGACAAAUAGUAACCCUUAUAAGUACCAGUUACCCAUAUGAAAUGUGUCUACAGCUAAUGAAACCGAUGCAUUAUGUUUGUUUGAAGGUUCACAGAAAAUUGUUAGAUCUUAUAACGCAGAAAUGUGCACAGUUAAGGUUGCAUAUCAAUGUAAACAGACAGGCCUUAUUACUUUUAAUAAUGAUUAUAUAACUGGUAUCAUUAAUUGGAAAAGGGGACAAAUGUUAGUCAUUAUGAACGACACUGCAAUUGAGAACUAUACACUACCUUAUAUUUUUACACCUUAUUACUGUCCUUUAUCCUCUACCAUAGAACCAAAAGUCAACAACGACACACACACACCUAUUCCGUCCACAUGUAUUAAUACAACUGCCUUCUUACAAGCUGUACAUGUGUCAUUAAAAAUCACUACUCCUGUUGUAACAUUAUGUAACACAGCAAACAAAGGCAGAAAAGGGAAUGGUAUGACACACUGUUAGGAGGUGCUGGAACCACUAUGGGUAUACUAAAUAGUUAUAGAUAUGGAGACCCUCAAGAAUAAGUUAAACACAGCCAGCAUGCAUAUAGGGACUGGUUUUCAUGCUACUGCAAAUUGGGCUCCAAUUGUUGUUAAAUCACAGGUUAUAGGAUUGGAUUUAGAUAAAUCAAUGUAUAAUUAUUUAGAUAAUUUAACUGUUGCAACUAUGAAAUUCACAACAGGUCUAAGUAACUGGAGUACUUGUGCCAUCAGGUAUUUAUGGAUACAACAAGGAUUGGCAUUAGAAAACACACUAAUGAUUCCUAAACUAGAGAAGAUUAGAGGAAUGUGUAACCUCACAGAUAAUGAAUGGUUACUUCUAAAACCCCAAUCCACUAAAUGCAAUGAAUGGUUAACUGGUAAUGUUUCACAUUUUUCAUGCUCAUGCUAUUUUACAUUAUAUCAUACAUCAUCAAAGGAUGUUAAAUUAGCUUGUCAAUUUAACACAUUACCAGUACCAGUUUAUGAUCUUUUUGCCAAGAAUUUAACCUGGUGGGCACCCACAUACACAGGGGACUAUAUUUUUCCCAAAGAUAACAUACACAGGUAGCCACGCAUAUCCUAAAAGGAGAACUCCUUAAGGUGAGUUCACAAAUUCAGAAUGAUUUAGCCCAUCAUUGGUACGAUGCUUCACUGGUUGGUCCCCUACUGGAUCUCAGAUAAUGAAAUCAUUCUUCUAUCAUUUUGUUAUUAUAGUCCUGAUUUUAUUGUGUAUGAUUUUAUAUAACUGUCACCUUAGUUGUACAUUGAGGAAGUGAGUACAGAAAUUAAUCCAUAAUGCAGAACAGAAACAAUUAGAAAUUCUCCUCUCUGCCACUGUAGAGUAUCAACCCAUCUUUAAACUGGGCCUUAGGAAUUACCACAUGGGAAUCGAGGUGAAGAAAUUAAUGAAAGUCCCGCAGGGAGUGACUAGCACCCCUGAAAAUACCAUGUGGAAGUUUCUCUGUCCUGGUAAGAUUUUAUCGAUAAGAUGAGCAAUUGUUUUAUUGCUCAAAGAGGGGAAUGUAAGAAUAUUAAAUAGUUAACUUGUUUAUAUGUAUUUUAUGCUUUUAUAAGGUUUAUAACAUGAUUAUUG
Molecule: long non-coding RNA, 3835 nt
Filed under: Pelobates cultripes (western spadefoot toad)
Lineage: Eukaryota; Metazoa; Chordata; Amphibia; Anura; Pelobatidae
Source: RNAcentral